RNAcentral lists this long non-coding RNA (991 nucleotides) under Ictidomys tridecemlineatus (thirteen-lined ground squirrel). Its description in RNAcentral is "lncRNA (ENSSTOG00000034200.1)". Lineage: Eukaryota; Metazoa; Chordata; Mammalia; Rodentia; Sciuridae. The record is from RNAcentral.
AUGUCUUCCAAAAAAGCAUGUCUUCCAGAGGAUCCAUGUCUUCCAAUUGACCUCCAGGUCUUCCAGCCUAUCCACAUCUUCCAGAAAAUCCUUGUCUUCCAUAAAAUCCAUAGCUUCCGGAAUAUCCAUGUCUUCCAGCUAAUCCAUAUCUUCCAGGAAAUCCAUGUCUUCCAGGAAAUCCCCGUCUUCCAGGAAAUCUGCGUCUUCCAGGAAAUACGCGUCUUCCAGGAAAUCCAUGUCUUCCAGCUAAUCCACGUCUUCCAGGAAAUCCACGGCUUCCAGCUAAUCCAAGUCUUCCAGGAAAUCCACGUCUUCCAGGAAAUCCCUGUCUUCCCGGAAAUCCACGUCUUCCAGGAAAUCCACGUCUUCCAACCAAUCCACGUCUUCCAGCCAAUCCACGUCUUCCAGCCAAUCCACGUCUUCCAGCCAACCUAUGUCUUCCAGCCAAUCCAUGUCUUCCAGCCAAUCCACGUCUUCCAGCCAACCUACGUCUUCCAACAAAGCUACGUCUUCCAGGAAAUCCACGUCUUCCAACAAAGCCAUGUCUUCCAUGAAUCUAUGUCUUCCAACAAAUCCAUGUCUUCCUUCACCUCCAGGUCUUCCAGCAUCUCCAGGGCUUCCAGCAUCUCCUCAUCUUCCAGCAUCUUCAUGUCUUCCAACAUCCUCAGGUCUUCCUACAGCUACCCAGUCUUCCAUCAGCGGGCUGAAUAUCUGCGUCUUCCAAUGUCUCCAGUGCCGGUCUUCUCACAUCCAGGUCUUCCACCGUCUGCAAUAUCCAGUGUUUCAAAGACGCAGAAUCAACACUCCUGAGGGGCAAAGAUUUCUGAAAACCUUUCUGAUGGAAGCUAUGGUUCACAUUGAUCAAAGCCCCCUCCUGAUCUGUUACCUUCUUUGAAAAGCUUAAAAGCACAUUGUUCCUCCCAUGAGUGUACUCCCUGGAGAAAUUCUUGCACAUCUGCACAGAAGGUAUGAACCAGAAUGUUCCUUUUAU